RNAcentral lists this ribosomal RNA (495 nucleotides) under uncultured bacterium. RNAcentral describes it as "partial 16S ribosomal RNA". It matches the Rfam family "Bacterial small subunit ribosomal RNA", at positions 30 to 507 of the family's 1533-position model. The record is from RNAcentral.
UGAGCGCUGGCGGCGUGCCUAAUACAUGCACGUCGAGCGAACAGACGAGGAGCUUGCUCCUCCGACGUUAGCGGCGGACGGGUGAGUAACACGUGGAUAACCUACCUAUAAGACUGGGAUAACUUCGGGAAACCGGAGCUAAUACCGGAUAAUAUAUUGAACCGCAUGGUUCAAUAGUGAAAGACGGUUUUGCUGUCACUUAUAGAUGGAUCCGCGCCGCAUUAGCUAGUUGGUAAGGUAACGGCUUACCAAGGCAACGAUGCGUAGCCGACCUGAGAGGGUGAUCGGCCACACUGGAACUGAGACACGGUCCAGACUCCUACGGGAGGCAGCAGUAGGGAAUCUUCCGCAAUGGGCGAAAGCCUGACGGAGCAACGCCGCGUGAGUGAUGAAGGUCUUCGGAUCGUAAAACUCUGUUAUUUGGGAAGAACAAAUGUGUAAGUAACUAUGCACGUCUUGACGGUACCUAAUCAGAAAGCCACGGCUAACUACGUG